This 497-nucleotide ribosomal RNA is filed under the name uncultured bacterium. Its description in RNAcentral is "partial 16S ribosomal RNA". It matches the Rfam family "Bacterial small subunit ribosomal RNA", at positions 28 to 507 of the family's 1533-position model. The record is from RNAcentral.
GAUGAACGCUGGCGGCGUGCCUAAUACAUGCAAGUCGAGCGAACAGACGAGGAGCUUGCUCCUCUGACGUUAGCGGCGGACGGGUGAGUAACACGUGGAUAACCUACCUAUAAGACGGGGAUAACUUCGGGAAACCGGAGCUAAUACCGGAUAAUAUAUUGAACCGCAGGGAUCAAUAGUGAAAGACGGUUUGGCUGUCACUUAUAGAUGGAUCCGCGCCGCAUUAGCUAGUUGGUAAGGUAACGGCUUACCAAGGCAACGAUGCGUAGCCGACCUGAGAGGAUGAUCGGCCACACUGGAACUGAGACACGGUCCAGACUCCUACGGGAGGCAGCAGUGGGGAAUCUUCCGCAAUGGGCGAAAGCUUGACGGAGCAACGCCGCGUGAGUGAUGAAGGUCUUCGGAUCGUAAAACUCUGUUAUUAGGGAAGAACAAAUGUGUAAGUAACUAUGCCCGUCUUGACGGUACCUAAUCAGAAAGCCACGGCUAACUACGUG